AUAAAGAAAUUUAACUUUCAAACUGGCAACACUUGGGGACUAAACUGAGCAAUGAAAAAGGCUGCCCAAAGUGGACUAUCCAAGAAGUUAUGAUCACAAGCUGGGGCACUGAAACGCUCAUGUUCACUAAUGUAAAGCAGUCGUUUUAAUGCUGUGGCUACGGAAUGAAUAUUUUUUGCAUCAGUAAUAUGCAGUUUAUCUCAAAGACUGAUUGUAAAGCACCUCUAGAAAGUAUUCAAUUCUAAUUGAUUUCAUGUAUUUAUUUCUGCCUAUAUUAUGCACCCAUGGCGCUUAUUUUCUUCAGAGAAUGAGGAAGAGAAGAGUCCAGUGAUAGAUAUGAAUGAUACAUAGAGAGAGAGAGAGCAACCAUUUGAAUCCAGAUGGGUCUAUUGACCAGAGAGACUUCUUGCCAACUCCUCCUGCUGUACCACCCUCCUGCCUUCUCAUGGACGAGCAGUGUCCAGAGCAGGCACCACUGGCAGUUCUCAAAUGCACUGAUUUACCUGGUCAGAGUAAAAAGAAGAGAGGCUUCUUCUUCAAAGGAAAAAAGCU
This is a non-coding RNA of Tinamus guttatus (white-throated tinamou), 552 nucleotides long. Lineage: Eukaryota; Metazoa; Chordata; Aves; Tinamiformes; Tinamidae. The record is from RefSeq and is a predicted model, not a curated record.